This 279-nucleotide ribosomal RNA is filed under the name uncultured bacterium. RNAcentral describes it as "partial 16S ribosomal RNA". It matches the Rfam family "Bacterial small subunit ribosomal RNA", at positions 506 to 784 of the family's 1533-position model. The record is from RNAcentral.
UGCCAGCCGCCGCGGUAAUACGGAGGGGGUUAGCGUUGUUCGGAAUUACUGGGCGUAAAGCGCGCGUAGGCGGACUAGUCAGUCAGAGGUGAAAUCCCAGGGCUCAACCCUGGAACUGCCUUUGAUACUGCUAGUCUUGAGUUCGAGAGAGGUAAGUGGAAUUCCGAGUAUAGAGGUGAAAUUCGUAGAUAUCGGGAGGAACAUCAGUGGCGAAGGCGGCUUCCUGGACAAUGACUGACGCUGAGGCUCGAAAGCGUGGGGAGCAAACAGGAUUAGAUA